RNAcentral lists this long non-coding RNA (22264 nucleotides) under Citrus sinensis (sweet orange). RNAcentral describes it as "long non-coding RNA (CSIN_LNC004418)". Lineage: Eukaryota; Viridiplantae; Streptophyta; Magnoliopsida; Sapindales; Rutaceae. The record is from RNAcentral.
GAGCUUCGGCCUUGAUUUUUUCUGCGCCCUCAAGCAGGUCAGUGGCAGAAACGUACAGGGUGUGUACAAAAUCAGGGGUUUAGCAAAUACAUUUUGGCAAGCGGAAUUGAGUGAAGACUGAAGAAGCCCGUUCAUGUGGGAAGUUUACCUCAAGCUUUUUACUAGUGGGUCUUGUCUAAGAUACAUAUUUCCGAAAUGCAUACUCUACGGUCAUUUUGUCGGUCGUUGAUUUGUUGUUUAGUUUAGACAUUGAGAAUGCAAGUGGCGAAGCAAGCUGUAAUCGAUUGAACGCUUUAUUUUGACUUGUUCAAUGCUUCAAAUAUAUUAUUUCACUUUUUGAGGACUUUUAUGGUCAUCUUUUGAUAAAUUUGUAGGCUCCCGCUAAGUUGCAGGUAUUGUUGGUAACAGCCAACUGAGCUGAACUGUUAGAUUUGAUGAUAGAAAUCCAACGGUGAUAAUAGAUUGUCAAAAUAAAAGUGCAACCGGAUGAAAAGGUUUUAUAAAAAGAAAUCAACUUGCUUCUUUUCUUCCUAUCUCUCUCUCCACGCUAGCGGACUAUUUUUUGAUUUGCCACAGAAAUGUAGCAAAAAUUUGGAAUUAUGCACAAACUUUUCACACCCAAAAUUAUGUUUGAAAAAUUCCCACAGGAAAUUGUUAAGGUUAUUAAUGAUGAUGUCAAAAUUUCUUUGUCCCGAAAGAUUGUCCACUGUAAGCAUAAGUUUGUGUUGAAGAAUGAUUGUUUAUAAUGAAAUAAUUAUUUCAUACGUACAAGAGUUAAUAAUAAUUCCUAUCCAUCAGUUUGCACUGCUGGUAUAACGAGCCAUGUACAGGUUUCUCCUAGUCGAAAUCUAGCAUCGGUUUUUCUCUUUCCCUCUCUUUGGUAUUAGAGCACCUCUUUUGUUCUUAUUUUAAAUAUUUUUUAUAUGAGUAAUUACAAGACAUACUUCAUUUGUUGCAUGAUAUUUUUCUACAAUUGCUAAUUUUGACCAAAAUCUUGACAGUUAUUAUAAAAAUCCUUUUACUGUAUUAGAAAAAAACACUGAUAGUUGGAUAGACAACAACCCUUUCUGAGAAAUUUUAGAAAGUGCUUUACAAAUUGUAGAAAACGAAUUAAAUAGAAUUAGUAUUGAACAAGUAUUUUUAGACACUUUAAUAGAAGAAAGAUUAGGCAGUUUAAAGCUCCCAGUAGAUUACACAUCUCCUUUACCACCUAAAAUAGAAAGAAAAAUAAAUAUUACACAUUACACUUUCACAAAUUUACCAGUAUUUAAUUUUAGAAGAAAUAAUUUGCAAUAUUAUAAUAUAAAUGAAAAAAUAGAUUAUUAGACAAAUACGAGAAUUUAGCAUUAAAAAUUAGGAAUAAGUUAGAAGAUCUAGAAAAUUAGUUUAUGAAUUUUCAAUGAUUAGAUUAUUUAGACUUAGAAAUUAGCCAUCAUAAAAAGUAAAAAUUAAAUUUGACAGAAGGAAUAAAAAUUAGUUGUAAUAUCGAUUACUUAGAAAACCAAUAUAAACAUAUUCCACACACUAGUAAUAGUCAACAAAAUUUUAUAGUAGAUUUAUUAAUUAAUUUAGGACAACAUCUAGAAGUCAAUAUAGAAAGGCUAAAAGAGUUAGUACUAGGACUAGGCAAAUUCUACGAGACAAGUAAUAUAAAUACAUUAAGAAGAAAUUUAGAUUUCAUUAAAGAUUUACUAAAAGAUUUUAAUAGUCAAGUUAAAAGAUUCCCUAGCAAGAAAGAAAUAGUAGAUUUAAUUCAAUUAUUAGACAUAAAAACACUUAAUCCCGUAGAAUUAGAAAUUAAACAAAUAGUAGAAAGUUUAAAAUUAGAGAUAGAAAAUAUUAAAUUUACACAAUGAGACUUACAAAUUCAAUUAGAUGCAAUAAAAAUAAGAGUUAGUGAAUGAGUUUAGAAAAAAUAUUAAUAGAAUCGUUAGCAGAAUUAAAAAGAGAAAUUUCACAUUUAAAUCCAGUAGGUUAUAGCUAUAGAGAAUUUAGUCAGGAGAGUAACAAUAUUCAACAAGCACAAGCUAGCACAAUAGUCAAAAUCAAUAAUAGACUAAAAGACUUAGACAAUAGGUUUAAUAGAUUAUAAAGUAAUUUUCAAACCGUUAGAAAAAACAAAGAAUCUGUAUCUCACCUAGAACUUAGCAGCAAUUUAGAUAACAUAGACAAAGAACUAGAAGCAUUAACAAACCAUGUACAAAAAUUAAAUUUAAGAGAACCAGUCUUAACAUGUAGGACAAUAGACAUUAAAGAUAUUUUAGGACCAAAAGUAAUAUUAAAAAGUAAUGGAUCUAGUAAGAAACAGUAGAGUAGACGUACACAUGACAGAAAGAAUUAGAAGGUCGCUCUCAUUUUCUAGUAAAGGUAAAGAAAUAAUAGAAAGAACCACUACUAGAAAAAUGGUCUUUUGUGACACUUGUCUUCUGACACUUUAUUAUAAAGUAUCAGUAAUUACAUGUAUUUAGGGCAUUUUCCGUGUUUAACAGAUAAGUAUCACAAAUUAUUAAUACUACGGUGUCAAUAAAUCAAAUAUCACAGAUUCGUGACACUAAAGUAUUAGUAGUUAAAAAAAUAAAAUUUUAAUUUUGUAUCUACUAAUAAUCGAACUGAAGACCUCUAAGCCAUAACCUUUUUAUUUUAACCGCUAUACCACUCGGCCACAAAUUGCAUUUUUGAACUUAUAAAUUAAUAAAUAAAUAAAUAUUAUAACUUAAAACCUAAAACCUAAAAAUCUUUCAUGUUCUGUGUGAAACCUAAAACCUAAAAAUUUUUGUUAAAGUAAAAAAUCUAUCUCACGGCCGCCGAAGCUUUCUUCCUUCUCUCUCCUUCCCUCUCUCUCGCUCUCUUUCUCUCUCUAACAAUGAUCUACCUUGAAAGCCGCCUUUGUCAAAACCUUGAAACCCGUCGUCCUUAAGCUAAAAUAUCCCUGAAAAGAACCCAGAAAGUGCUGUGAAGAAUUUGGGCAAAGCUAAGGUUUGAAAGUCCGAAUCAGUGUUGUGGUAACUCUUUGUCUCAUUCUCUAUUCUCAUUGUUUAAGUAUUUAUCUGUUAAUUGAUUGAUGUUUAUUGAGUGCAAAUGAGAGCUUGCACUUGUUUGGAAAUCUAGCCAUCUAGGGUUUUUGUUGCUUAUAAUCUAAUUUAUUGUUUAAUAAAAUAAAUAAAACGCAACUUUAUUAUAGGUGGAAUUCAGUUUAUUAAGUGAAAGAAUGAUUACAAUAAAUUUAAUAUAUAUUCAAACAUCUGCUGCAACUUUUAUAGUUUCAUAUGCAAUUUUGACAAAACUGUUCAUUAAUGUUUGAUCCUAUCAAACACCGGCCUAAUGAUAUCGGAAUAGCCUCAAAUUUUAAUAUGUUGUUGACUUAUAUGUCCACUUAAAAUCUGGAAAGUAUCAUUCUGAUAUAUUUAGUAUUUUAAAUUUAAUAUAUAUUCAAACAUCUGCUGCAACUUUUAUAGUUUCAUAUGCAAUUUUGACAAAACUGUUCAUUAAUGUUUGAUCCUAUCAAACACCGGCCUAAUGAUAUCGGAAUAGCCUCAAAUUUUAAUAUGUUGUUGACUUAUAUGUCCACUUAAAAUCUGGAAAGUAUCAUUCUGAUAUAUUUAGUAUUUUAAAUUUAAUAUAUAUUCAAACAUCUGCUGCAACUUUUAUAGUUUCAUAUGCAAUUUUGACAAAACUGUUCAUUAAUGUUUGAUCCUAUCAAACACCGGCCUAAUGAUAUCGGAAUAGCCUCAAAUUUUAAUAUGUUGUUGACUUAUAUGUCCACUUAAAAUCUGGAAAGUAUCAUUCUGAUAUAUUUAGUAUUUUAAAUUUAAUAUAUAUUCAAACAUCUGCUGCAACUUUUAUAGUUUCAUAUGCAAUUUUGACAAAACUGUUCAUUAAUGUUUGAUCCUAUCAAACACCGGCCUAAUGAUAUCGGAAUAGCCUCAAAUUUUAAUAUGUUGUUGACUUAUAUGUCCACUUAAAAUCUGGAAAGUAUCGUUAUGAUAUAUUUAGUAUUUUAAAUUUAAUAUAUAUUCAAACACCCACUGCUACUUUUACAGUUUCAUAUGCAAUUUGGACAGAAUUAUUCAUUAAUGUUUGAUCCUAUCAAACACCAGCCUAAUGAUAUCAGAAUAGCCUCAAAUUUUAAUAUGUUGUUGACUUAUAUGUCCACUUAAAAUCUGGAAAGUAUCAUUAUGAUAUAUUUAGUAUUUUAAAUUUAAUAUAUAUUCAAACACCUGCUGCUACUUUUAUAGUUUCAUAUGCAAUUUUAACUUAUAUAGUUUUAUCAUGUGAGAAGCAAAUGUAGAGUUGUCCAAAUGACUUGGAAAUUUGAUUUGUGGUGCAUUGACAUGUCUAAUUAUGUUUUGUUCAUAGCAUUCCAAAUUAAAUUAAAGAAAAUCUUAAAUUCAAGCUGUCAACGUUUCCUAUUAAAUCUGAUUAGUGAUAAAUCUACUAACUUGCAGUGCUUUUCAGGGAAAAAAAUGUGUCAACAUUGUGAAUUGCAACGAGAGAAGACAGUACCAAAGGCAUAAAUCUUUUUUCAUUAUAUUUGGGACUAUUCUUAAAGGUUAGUCUUUUCCUUUUUUUCUUUUUUAUUUAAGGUAAUCAUAUUCUUUUUAAUUUUACUUACAAUCAAUUUGGCGUUGUUAUACAACUCGCACCAACCAAUCAAUUUAUUAAUGUGACUAGAUGGAAGAUUGCCAUAUGUGGGGAAUAUAUGAAGUCAAGACUAAAGGUACAGCCAAGCCAUUUUGCUUUUGAUAUUAUAAUUGUGCGGCUUAUACACUUGCGCAUAUUUUAACAGACAUGCUCUCGUGGAAUGGCUUGCAAUUUUAUCCACUGUUUCCGCAACCCUGGCGGAGACUAUGAAUGGGCUGAUUGGGAUAAACCACCUCCAAGAUAUUGGGUGAAAAAGAUGGCUGCGUUAUUUGGUUAUUCUGAUGAAUCUGGGACUUGGAAUCAAGAACGCUAAGGACAAACGAGGAACAAGAUAGAUUCAACUAAUGCCGACAGGUAUGCUUUUAUUACUAGUCAUAGACACUAAAAACUGUACUUGGUAUAUAUGAACUCUUGUUUAUUUAAUUCACUUUCUGUUAUUUGAAUUUUUUUAGUUUAAACUUCCAUGUUUGACCGAUGAUUUUGAGAGGUUUCUUCAUAGUAUCGUUCUCUUCAUUUGUGUUUUCUUCANNNNNNNNNNNNNNNNNNNNNNNNNNNNNNNNNNNNNNNNNNNNNNNNNNNNNNNNNNNNNNNNNNNNNNNNNNNNNNNNNNNNNNNNNNNNNNNNNNNNNNNNNNNNNNNNNNNNNNNNNNNNNNNNNNNNNNNNNNNNNNNNNNNNNNNNNNNNNNNNNNNNNNNNNNNNNNNNNNNNNNNNNNNNNNNNNNNNNNNNNNNNNNNNNNNNNNNNNNNNNNNNNNNNNNNNNNNNNNNNNNNNNNNNNNNNNNNNNNNNNNNNNNNNNNNNNNNNNNNNNNNNNNNNNNNNNNNNNNNNNNNNNNNNNNNNNNNNNNNNNNNNNNNNNNNNNNNNNNNNNNNNNNNNNNNNNNNNNNNNNNNNNNNNNNNNNNNNNNNNNNNNNNNNNNNNNNNNNNNNNNNNNNNNNNNNNNNNNNNNNNNNNNNNNNNNNNNNNNNNNNNNNNNNNNNNNNNNNNNNNNNNNNNNNNNNNNNNNNNNNNNNNNNNNNNNNNNNNNNNNNNNNNNNNNNNNNNNNNNNNNNNNNNNNNNNNNNNNNNNNNNNNNNNNNNNNNNNNNNNNNNNNNNNNNNNNNNNNNNNNNNNNNNNNNNNNNNNNNNNNNNNNNNUUGUUCAUGAAACAACUUGGAGUCGGAGGCGCUCCAAUUAUCACAGUGAAAGCAGAAGUGAUGAGGCUAAUUCUGAUGGAAGUUGGUCAGAUAGGGACAGAGACUAAUUUUUAUGUAUUGAAUUUGGAUUAUUUAGUUAUGAGAGUAGGAUAUCUCAUAUUUUGGCUAUUGAAGUUGAAUUUGUAAUAUAUACUAAUAAUAUUUAAAUGUGAAAUGAAAGAUUUUGUGAUAUAAAUCAAUUUCUUUUUGUUAUUUUGUGGUGCCUUUUAAUUUUACUAAUAAAUCAAUAGGCAAUGAUCCAAUUCAAUUUUUUAUUUUUUUAAAAUAAAUUAACUAGUGAUACCAUGGUAACAGUAAUCAUAGACACUAAUAAAAUAUCAAUAACUACUAAUACUAUGGUGUCAUAAUAUCGGUGAUACUGUAGUAAUAGUAAUCACUGACACCACUUACAAGUGUCACUAUUUUUCUGACUCCCAGAUUACUGACACAAUUAACAAGUGUCAGUAAAAGUAAUUUCUGACACUAUUCUAAAGUCAGUAAAGACCAUUUUUCUAGUAGUGAACAUAAGAUAUAAUUAACGAACAGGAUUCCGAUAAAUUAUUAGAAAAAGGUUUCGAGCAAAUUAAACGGAAAAAAAUUAUAUAAUGAAGGUUUAAAUUCAAAAUUAAAUAAUAGUUUAUAUAUUUACACAGAUGAAACAAAAUUAUUAGUAGUAAAUAGAGAAAAAUUAACUUUAAUUAGUCCAGUAGGAAGAGAUUAUCUUAGAAAGCAGAAUUAUACAAACAUAUACACAUGGGAAUAAUAAUCAUAGGCAUACUCAGUCAAGCUAGAGAGGGACUAGACACAAAAGCACAUUUAUAUUUAUAUGAUAGUAGAUUUUAUGAUCACGAGCAAGCCCAAAUAGCUAGUGCAGAAGUAGAUUUAAAAAAUAAAGUAGCAGUAGUAGGAUGCAUACCCAAUAUAGAUAUAGACAUAAAUGAAUUUGGUAAACAUAUUAAAUUAAGUGUACAAACUAAAGGAUAUAAAAUGAAUACAAAAUAUAAAAACCUUAGAAUUAAAACAUUUUUUUCUAGGAAAAUUAUACAAUAAAUAUCAUAAGAAAUUAAGAUUUGAAAGUAAAAUAUUGUAGAUUGUUUUAAAAGUCAGUACAUCAAAAUUAUAGUACCUAAAAAAUUAACGUACCUAAAAAAUUAACCAGUAGCAAAUUAAAUGGUUUAGAAUGGAUAUUACCUAAAUUAAAACAAGAUGGAAUGCUAGAAGUACCAGAGACUAGUUAUACUUAUAUGAAUAGACAAAAUCAAGUUACACAAAGAUUUAGUAAUUAUAGAUAGAGAAGUAAUCUAGAAUUAUAAGAAAAUGAAGAAGAGAUAGAAAUUAAUAUGGCAAUAAUAGACAAUUUAGACAUAGAUAAACAAAAAACAUUAAUUAGUAAUAGAGAUAAAAUUAUAGACUUAAUAUUUAGUGAACCUAAAAAAUAUUUAGAUGAAGAAUUAUUUGAAGAACUAUGUAAUAAUGAUGAAUUAACAGACAAAGAUAUAGACAGAGAAUUAAUAAAAAAAAUUUAGAUUUUAAAAAUUUAGAAAUAGAUGAAAUUUAUUACUUAGAACAUGCAGAUGAAAUAUUAGUAGGAGAAGAAGACAAAAAACCAAAAGUAGGAAAAAGUAGCCAUAAACCGGUAUUAGAACCUAUAGUAGAACCAUCCAAUGUAGAAACUUACUUAGACAAACGAGGAAUCCCAGAAACUAAUGAAAAAUACACAGAAGCCGAAAGAGUAUUUAAAACUAAAACAAAAUUAGAAAAUUGGAAAACUAUGCCACAAGCUAGAGAUUUAUUAGUACUAGAAUUAGAAGACCAUAAACCUAGUCAAUGGAAACAAGUAUUUAACCCGUGGAAAUGUAAUUUACUUAGACAUUCUAUGGAAGCAUUAGCAAUAAUAAUAGACCCAAAUUAUAAAUUAAUAUAUUUAGAAAGUACUUUAGGAAGUAGAGAAAGACAAAUAUAUUUAGGAUGGAGAGAAUGGAUGAAGAAAAAAAAUUAGAAGAAUUAGACAAUUUUGAUACAAAUAUUACAGUAAUUAGUUUGAUUGAUUUAAUGAAAAAAAUAGUACUAGGAGUAGAUGAAAAAGACGAUGUAAUUAAACAGAUUAAAGAUAUUAGAAAUUUAUAACAAUUAAAAAUUUGUGACUUAAGAUAUUUUGAUGAAUAUGCUAAUUAUUUUUAUAAAUAUUGGAGUGAAAGAGGUAGACCAUUUGAUGAAGACUUAUUAUUAAAAUUCGUAGACAAAUUACCAGGCAAGAUAGGAGAAAAAUUACACAACGAAUUAAUUAAUUGGUUUAAAACUAAACAAACACAAAGAAUUAAUUAUUAUGCUAUAUGAUUACCAGUAAUAGAAUACGUUAGAGGUAAAAUUAGAGAAUAUUGUGAAGAAGAAAAACAUAGACACCAGUUAAAAUUACGAUUUAGAAAAAUGUAUAUAGAUAUGAUAGAAGUACCAAUGUUAGGAUGUAAUUAUCCUAAUUACUGUAAACAUAAGAAAUAGAGAAAGCAUAGGAAGAAAUAUAGUCAAAAUAAGUCACCUUAUAGACAUAAUAGUAUAAAAUUUUAUAAAAAGAAAUUCUUUAAAUAUCAUAAUAAUAAACAAAAAGUCAAGACGGCAUUCAAAAAAGGUAAACGUAUAUACAAAAGGAAUAAACUUGUAAAUGUUCUUUAUGUGGAAAAGGACACAUUAAACAAAAUUGCCUAGAAAACAAAAAAGUUAAUCAAUUAGAAUUAGAUAAUUAUAAUAUAGAAGAAGAAAUUUUAGAUAUAGAAGAAAUUCUUAAUAUAGAUCAAUUAUCCGAUAGCGACAGUAGAUGUAUAGUCAGUAAUAGUGAAUCUGACACUAGUAGUAAUUCAAGCUUAGAAUUAGAAUCACACAUAGAACCAGAAAUAGACAUUAAUGUUCUAGAAACUUUUACUUCAUUCUUUGGUAAAAAUUCUACAAAUUGUAAUAAAAAAUUUGAAUUAGGAUAUAGAAACACAGACACAGGAAAAAUCUUUUGUAAUAGUUGUAAAGAUAAAUAACCUAUAGAAGAUGAAACAAUAGAAAUAAAUAGAGUAGACAUCGAAUUAAUAAAUAGAGAUGUAGAAUUAUUGUUUAAAAAAGAAAUUGUUUAUACUAAAGCACACAAGCGCAAAUAAAUGUAUAAUACAUGAUAGCUUGGUACCCAAAGAAAAUAGAAACAAACUUAGAAACCCUGUAAACAUUAGACAAUUUAAUUGAGAAUUAAUGCAAAUUACAUAAUGUAUAAAUAACAUACCAAUAAGAAUAAAUGGUGAAACACAUGUUUUGCCACAAACAUUUAUUUCAAACCAAAAAGUAGAAUAUAAAUUUAUUUUAGGAUUAAAUUUUAUAUUAGGAAAUAAUGGUAGUAUACUAAUAACUCCAAAUGGAGUAAAUUUCUUUAAAAAGUCAACAUUCAUUCAACCUAAAUAUGAAACACAUAUCUUACCAUAUGAAAAGAAAACUUUAGUAGUAUAAAAAGAAUUAGACAUAGAAUUUUUUUAUUCUUUAUUAGAAGAAGAAAAAGAUGUAGCCAGCCGUAGUGGACUAGAAUUAAACAAUGAUGAAGUAGAAACCUUAGACAAUGAGGAAAUAGACAACUAUUUAGAAGACAUAUUAAAUGUAGAAAAAGAAGUAGAGUGUUUAGAAUGUCAAAAAUGGCCGGAAGAAAUUAGAAAAAAUGUAGAAGAAUUAGAAAAGUUAGAAAUAAUAGGAAACAACCCAAUUAGAAAAGAUAAUAAAGAAAUAUAUAAAUUAGAAAUCAUUAAUUCAGAUAUAACAGUAAAAUCACAAGAUUUAGCUUAUAGUUUGGAAGAUAGAAAAGAGUUUAAAAUGCAUAUAGAGGAAUUAUUAGAAUUAAAAGUUAUUAGAAGUAGUACCAAUAGACAUAGGAGCCCUGCAUUUAUUGUAAAUAACCAUAGUGAACAAAAACGAGGAAGAAGUAGAAUGGUAAUAAACUAUAAAAGAUUAAAUGAUAAUACUUCAGACAAUAGUUAUAAAAUACCUAAUAAAGAUGAGCUAGUAAAUUGUAUACAGAAUGCUAAAUAUUUUUCUAAAUUUGAUUGUAAAAGUUAAAGAUGGCCAAUGGGCCGAGCGGCAUGUGGCACGGCACAGGCACGUGGGCCGUGCCGAGCGGCAUGUGGCACGGCACAGGCACGUGGGCCGUGCCGAGCGGCAUGUGGCACGGCACAGGCACGUGGGCCGUGCCGAGCGGCAUGUGGCACGGCACAGGCACGUGGGCCGUGCCGAGCGGCAUGUGGCACGGCACAGGCACGUGGGCCGUUGGUGGGCUAGCAUGUGGCCCGUGAGCCAUUAAUAGCACGUGGGCCAAAAUAUAUCUAAGUAAAUUUUUUUAACAAAAAGUAAAUAUAAAAUGUUAUGAAAUUAAAGUAAAAUAUCUUGAAAUUAAAUGUUUUAAUAUAUUUUUUAGCAUAGACUCUGCUGUACCGUACAUCCGCCUUGGCCGUACAGCAGACUUAUGUUGGUUAUUUAUUUUUAUUUUUGAAAAAAUGGCUUUUUUAUUUGCCAUUGUCAGUGUUGUGUACAGAAAUUGUGAUUUAUUAGGGAAUGAAAGUAAUUAGAUAUUGACAUUGAACAAGUGUCAACAGGGAGGUCAUCAAAGGCUGAAUUCUUUUCACAAGAUUGUCACUAUCAUUUUGUCAUUUUUAAGUACAAAUGGUGAGAUCGAGUUUUCAUGACUAGACUUGCUGUUUAGGCGCUGAUUAGGAACCCCCAAUUGAGAUCAAAAUGGGUAAGUGGUGUUAUGCGCCUGAGCUCUACGGUGGUUGUUGAUGGUUUUGCUGUAAGGCAGAAGUAGCUUGAAUAAAGCACGCCAGACACGUGGACUUUUUUAAGCACGAAAAAAAAAAAGUUGGUGGGCUUUUUUCGGGCUCAACUAAAAAAAGGUAGGCACGACACAGCCCAUUGACCAUAGUUAGUAAAAGUGGAUUUUGACAAAUAAGAGUCCACGAAGAAUCUGUUCAAUUGACAACUUUUAAUUGUUCAGAAGGACAUUUUGAGUGGUUAGUUAUACCGUUUGGACUUAAAAACGCUCCACAAGUAUUUCAAGUUAGAAUGGAUAGAAUAUUAAAACCUUAUUCAAAAUUUUGUAUAGUUUACAUAGAUGAUAUUUUAGUGUUUAACCAGAAUAAAUUUAUGCAUAUUACCCAUUUAAAUAAAAUUUUAGAUUGCUUUAAAAAUAAUAAUAUAGUUUUCUAAAAAGAAAAUAGAAUUAUUAAAACAAAAAAUAUAUUUUUUAGGAUUAACGAUAGACAGAGGAACAAUAGAAUUACAACCACACAUAGUCAGCAAAAUAUUAGAAUUUCCAGACAAAAUAGAAGAUACAAAAGAAUUACAAAAAUUUUUAGGACUAUUAAAUUAUAGUAGAAAAUUUAUGCCAAAUCUCAUUACAUUAAUAAGACCCUUAUAUAAUAAAUUCAGUAAAAAUGGACAAAAAUAUUUUAAUAGUGAAGAUAUAAAAUUAAUUCAAAAACUUAAAGAAAUAGUUAAAAAUCUCAAACCCUUAGCAUUACCAAUAGACGGUUAUUAUAAAAUCAUAUAGACAGAUGCCAGUAGUUUAGGAUGGGCAGGAAUAUUAAUACAAAAACCUAAUAAAGAUAGCUCUAAAGAUAAGGAAGAAAUAAAGAUGUAUACUAGCGGAAAAUUUACAAAACAGAAGGUAGAAAAUCUAGCACAAAAUUAGAAAUUUUAUGAAUAAUAAAUUCUUUAAAUUCAUUUCAUUUGUAUAUACAAAAUGAUAAAUUUACAAUUAGAACUUAUUGCAAUAAUAUUAUAGAAUUCUAUAAAAAGUACAAAAGAAAAACUUUGAAAAGAAAAAUUCUUUUAUUAGUAAGAGAUGGAUAUAUUUUUUAGAAGUAAUAACAGGUAAAUGAUACAAAGCAAAAUUUGAACAUAUAGUAGGUAAAGAUAAUACAUUAGCAGACAUUCUUUUAUGACUAAUAAAUCAAUGAUUAUUUUGUAGGAAUGGACCGAUAUAUGAAUUUCGGUCCAAUCAAGCUUAGACAAUUCCCAUCAGGAACAAAUUUAAGUUUUAAAAGUAAAUUUCAGUUAUCAGAUAGUCAACAAUGCAUAUUAGAUAAUUUAUGGUGUGCUAAUAGCCCACAAGAUAAACUAAAAGUAGCCAAUGCACUCAUGCAUUAUUUUAGACAAAUUAAUGAACGCGUAAACAGUAAUCAUUUGCAUUUUUCGUAUUAGUUAGCGGUAGACAACUAGGAAUUUAUAGUCAGUGGAGAGAGGUAGUUGAUUUGAAGAUCAAUUAUCCUGAUCCAUAUGCUAAAGGUUUUUACACAUUUCAUGAAGCCAUAGAAUAUGCUAGACGUGAAAUAGGACCGAAUUAUCAUGUUAGUCAGUUGAUAAAUCCUUUAAACAAUGCAUCAACAACUUCAUCUAGACAGUCAAAUAAUCCCUUAGAUAGUGCAUCAAUAGCCUCAUCAUCAUCAUCAUCCAUACAAUUUUGUAAUCAUUGUGAAGUCAUGGCACGAACAAUUAAAAAGCUUAAUGAGACUAGAUAUCAUUUAGACAAUAUAUUAGAAGGAUGUAGACAAAAAAUACUUGCAUUGGAAAAUGCUAAAGAAGAAUUAAUUAGACAAAAUAUUAUAUUACAAAAUAAAUAUCAAAUUUUGUUAGUAGACCAUCAAAAAACCCAAAGCACCCAUAAAACCCAAAAAAUGCUUACACUAAAACAACCAUUAAAUAAAUUAUUCGAUCAUACCCCAGCCAGAAUAAAAUACAACAACUUUCAUUUUUUCUUGGUGAUGCAGUAGACACAGUAAAAGAAAAAGUUAUAGAAAACCUGUGUACGUAUUUGAUUACUUUUGCCAAUCAAUUGUUUGAUAGCCAGUUAAAUUUCUUACUUGAAUUUGGACCCAGCUGGUCAGAAUUAAAUAACAUUAUUGCACUUAGACAUAAUUUUCCUAUAAUUUCUUUUGAUUACUCCCUAGCCAAAACCAUAGACAAUGAAGACAUCUUGUACAAAGCCCUUAGCUUUGAAAUGAUACGAACCAUUUAUAUUUUUAGCCAAGACAGGUUUAAAUUCUUUCCACCAACCUUAAACAGAGCCUUAGCCAUUAUAAGCAAAGCACCAUUAGUAAUCAAUUUUAAUUCUACACCACCCAGACCUCAAAUAAUUAAUAAAACCAAAACCAAUGUCAUAUUACUAGCCUACCAUGUCAUUUUUAUUUGCGAAGGAGCCAAGAAGUACAGACGAAGAUUUUAUCAAGACAGGCCCAAUUUCUCUGCAAAUGAUUUAUAUCGAAGAACUCAUGAAAUGACAUCCUUCUAUGAAUGGUUACAUACUCAUGACAGGAUCAUUGCUCAAGCAGAACACUACACAAUCAUCGCCCAAAAGCAUGUUGUCUGUGAGUAGUUACUCAUUCCUUCACUACAAAUCAAAGUUGAUAAUCUACAGAAACGUGAAGAAUACUUGGAGGCGCUAGAUGAAAUAAAUGACAUGUCAUUAUUGGGACAUGAAUCUGAAGCUAUGAGUCAUCAAUCUUUGGAUGAGGAUAUAGUUGAAGCCGUUGAUGAAAUGAUGGAGCGAUAGGAGACACCAUUAAAAACAAAGUAGUCAGCAGUAGCCAAAGUCAGUGUAAAGUCAAAAUAGCCAGAGUCACGUGAUUUUAUAGAUAACCCUUACUCACUACUCGAUAAAGGAAAAACUGUAAAAACACCUUUUUCAUUUUGUCUUUUCUUACCGACAGUGAGUCAUCACUAAAAAUAGUAGCCAGUUACUAUUUGUAGACAGUGAGUCACUAUAAAAGUACUAGUUAGCCAGUUUGUACUUUUUAAAUUAAUCGUUGGCUUUUCGCCACAUGUAAAGAGUCAUUUUCUGCUUUUGUCUUUUGUAAUCAAAAUCAAUAAUAGUCCAAAAGUCUAGAGUUGUAUAUAAAGACUUUCAAGUCUAUGUAAAGGUAGAGUCGGAAAAAAGAGUCGUGAAUACGCUAACAAGCAAGCAUUCAACUUGUACUCAAAAUCAAUAUCAAUAAAAUUUUCUUUUUUAAACACUUUGCAAUUUUUUUAGACAGCAACUAGCGAGCAAGCAAGUAAGUAGUUUUACUCUUUACUUUUAUUUAACUUUCGGGUUCAAAAGUCUAGCCUAGUUAACAAAAGUAGAAAUUAUAUUUAAAGCAUUAACAAAAGGUUGUCCUUGUUAUCAUUCAGGAGCAAAGAAUUUCUGGAGGGAAAGUUUUUAAUGAAAAUUAAGGUUUUUAUUUUUGAAAAAAAUAAUAAGAACUUAGUAAAAGUUUUUGCUGAUUUUCUAAAAGUUUCUUUUUAAACACUGUCUCCGUUGGCCCGUUUAGUCGUUAAUGUGUUGAGAAUGCAUUUUUGGGUGUUAGUCAGGAGUUGAAAGUGUGUUUGAUAUGCAUGUUUUCAGAAGCAGUUUAAAUAAACUUUGAAAGGCCAGUUUUUGGCAAAGCAGCUUCCGCAAUUUUCAUAAAACUUUUUUGAGAUUACUCUGUAUAUAGGUGGGAAACCAAAGAGACGAAAAGAGAAAAACGGACGCUAGGUUCCGACUAGGAGAAAGCUGUACGUGACUUGUUAUACCAGUAGUGAAAACAAAUCUAAUUCUCAUUCGAGUUGCCCAUCAGAAUAAAUAUCGCUGGUUCCCAGUGGGUGGAUGGGUCAUGAGUGUGUCGGUUAGGAGCGGAACAAACCAAUCUUAACUGGAGGGGCUAAAGAAUUUUUUCAAACUUAUAAAAUAAGUAUUUUAUUAAUAUAUAUUUACUUCAAUAAAAAAUAUUAAAUAUUGAUUUUUUUUUAAAGGGCCCAUGUAAUCCCUUAAUAGAUCCGCCCCUGGUGUUGGUGGUUGGACGGUACAGAAUAGACCCAAGAAGAAUGCAGGGUUGACUUCUGUCCCUUGAAUAAAUUUUUUGAAUCGAGCUCUUAUUUUAUCAUUGAAAUACUCUGCAAGUGAAAAAAAUCCUGCAGUCUCCUUUCCAAAUCAUUCCGCAUUGCAUUCUUCAUUGUCGGCGAUGAGUGUUAGCGGGAACUGGUGUUCUGUUCUUUUCUUUCUGAUUUUCUCUACGCCAUUUUCUUGCUUGGUUGAUGCCCAAAGGUUUGAUUAUCCGACAGCGAACCUCUCUACUUCAUGGACCAACCACCCGUCAGCUUCUCACUCGGUAGCUUUCAGUGACGGAUCAGCGGUGACAGCCAUCCUUCUUAGGGGAACCCUUGGCCCCAGAUAUGCAUGUGGCUUCUUCUGCAAUGGCACCUGUGACUCUUAUCUAUUUGCUGUUUUCAUAGUUCAGACCAAUAGUGUCUCCAAUAUCGUUUCUCCAGCUUUCGGAUUUCCACAUGUAGUCUGGUCUGCUAAUCGUAACAAUCCUGUUCGAAUAAACGCAACCUUAGAACUCACUUCAGAUGGGAACUUGGUCUUGCAAGAUGCUGACGGAGCUAUUGCUUGGUCGACGAAUACCAGUGGUAAAUCUGUUGUGGGCUUAAACUUGACAGACAUGGGCAACCUCGUACUCUUCGACAAGAAUAAAGCAGCCGUUUGGCAAUCUUUCGAUCAUCCAACGGACUCGCUGGUUCCUGGCCAAAAAUUGUUGGAAGGGAAGAAACUUACAGCUAGUGUUUCAACCACGAAUUGGACGGAUGGAGGUUUGCUUUCACUUUCUGUCACUAACGAAGGAUUAUUUGCUUUCAUAGAGUCUAAUAAUACUUCAGUACCGUAUUAUAAAUUACUCACAGCCUCAAAAACAAGUAAGGAACCAAGCCAUGCUAGAUAUCUGAAUCGAAGCUUAGCUUUGUUCAUAAAUACCUCCGAACCAAGGGAACCAGAUGGGGAAGUUUUUCUUCAUCCAGCAUUAUUAUUCCCGGGACAGUACAUGAGAUUGUGGCCUGAUGGACAUUUAAGAGUUUACGAGUGGCAACAAUAUAAUGGGUGGACAGUAGUGGGAGAUCUAUUGACAGGUAUUUUUGGGGAAUGCGGUUAUCCUCUGGUUUGUGGCAAGUAUAGCAUCUGCUCUGGGGGGCAAUGCAGUUGUCCUGCAACCUAUUUCAAGCCAUUAAAUGAAAGACAGCCUGCCCUUGGGUGCUCCCAGAUUACUCCCUUAUCGUGUGAAGCUUCGCAAGAUCAUAGUUUUGUUGAACUCAAUGAUGUCACUUACUUCGCGUUUAGCUCAUUUAGCUCAGACCUUACGAAUACAGAUCCGGAGACAUGCAAACAAGCCUGUUUAAAUAAUUGCUCUUGCAAAGCUGCUCUUUUUCAGCGUGGUUUGAACUCUUCUGCUGGAGAUUGCUACUUACCAUCUGAAAUCUUUUCAAUGAUGAAUAAUGAGAAGGAAAGGACUCAUUAUAACUCAACUGCUUACAUUAAGGUUCAAAACUUGCCAGUGCCAGGUGCAAGUCCUGGAGGAAAGGAGACGAGCCACAGAAAAAGAAUAAUGGGGUUCAUCCUUGGAUCUUUCUUUGGUUUAUUAGUUCUAAUUGGUAUCUUGAUCUUUUUCUUUGGGAAGAAAAAGGGGGCUGAUGAAAUUGAGGAAGAUUGUUUAGAUCAAGUGCCAGGACUACCCAAAAGAUUCUCAUUUGAAGAGUUGAAAGUCAUGACAGACAAUUUCAGAAAGAUACUGGGUAAGGGGGGCUUUGGCUCAGUCUUUGAGGGGGCACAAACUGAUGGUACAAAAGUUGCAGUGAAACGUCUCGAAGGAAUUGGUGAAAUCAAUAAAUCUUUCUUAGCAGAGGUGAAGACAAUUGGAAGCAUUCACCAUCUGAACUUGUUGAGGUUGAUAGGGUUUUGUGCUGAGAAAUCUCAAAACCUUCUUGUUUAUGAAUACAUGCCGAAUGGAUCUCUAGAUAGGUGGCUUUUCCAGAGAUCAGAUGAGUUUAUGCUUGACUGGCAGCAAAGAAAGAAGAUCAUCCUUGAUAUUGCCAAGGGACUAACCUAUCUCCAUGAAGAUUGCAGGCAGAAGAUACUCCACUUGGAUAUCAAGCCCCAAAAUAUUCUGCUAGAUGACAACUUCAAUGCCAAAGUUGCUGAUUUUGGUUUGUCGAAAUUGAUUGACCGGGACCAGAGCCAAGUUGUGACAACCAUGAGAGGAACUCCAGGCUAUUUGGCUCCUGAAUGGCUUAGCUCAGUAAUUACAGAAAAAGUAGAUAUCUAUAGCUUUGGAGUUGUGAUGUUGGAGAUAUUGUGUGGCCGGAAAGUUUUUGACCGCUCUCAGCCUGAGGAGGAAGACAUGUAUUUGCUAAGCAUAUUCAAUAAGAAGGCAGAGGAGGACAAAUUGUCUGAUCUGGUAGAUAGACACAGUAACGAUAUGCAAUCAAAUGAAGAAGAAGUAGUGAAUAUGAUGAAGGUAGCUGCAUGGUGUCUGGAAAGUGAUUUUGUAAAGAGACCUUCCAUGUCAAUGGUAGUUAAGGUUUUGGAGGAUGUUACAGAGUUUGAGCAUAACCUCCAUUAUAACUUGGUUCAUCUACCAACUACAGCAGCAUUAACAAACGUUGAUCGUAGAGAAGAAAAUGAUAAACCCAUUACUCAAUUGUUGCCUUCAGUUUUGUCAGGGCCAAGAUGACAGACGGCUAGCAGGUAUACAUACCAUUUUUCCAUUCUUGAUUAGCAUUAAUAAUGUUUACCAACAACUUUUGUUUUUGGACUUGAAAAAGAAAUCCAAUUGGGCUUUACCAGCAACUUUCAGCAUCUUUCUUGAAAAAAAUAAAAAACAAUUGGCCCCAAAUUUUUGUAGGGUUAUUCGUGGAUACAAACCGGAAUAAAAGAAACUUUAAAUCUUUGAUAAGAAUGUAAGUUUCAUUAUCGAUUUAUUAUGCAAAUUUAAAUUCGUGGACCAAUAACUGCAGGAACCUUCUAACGUACGUAUGUGCUAAUUCAGAAAUUCGUGGCAAGUCUCAGUAGUAAUUAAUCUCAAAUUUGCAGUAUCUGGCGAAUCUUAUCAUUGACUGAUCUUUGGCCCUGAUCUUUUCUGCUUCUCAAGCAGAUGAGUGGCAGAAACAAGAAGAGGGUGCCUACAACAUUAAACUUUUGCCAAGCAAAAUUAAGCGAAGAAGUCCAAUCUUAUGGGAAGUUAACUCAAGCUUUUACUAGUGGAUCUUCUGUAAGAUAAAUACUUCCGAAAAAUGGAUGUUCUACAGUGAUUUUGUCGUCUACAUUUGUUGUUUAGACGCUGAGAAUGUCUGUCUUUAGAUAUUGCGAAUGUAAGUGGGGGAGGCAAAGCAAGCUGCAUUACAUUGAACGCUUUAUUUUGAUUUGUUCAAUGCUUCAAUAUAUAUAUAUAUAUAAUAGGUCUAAAAUGUUGCUUAAUAAAGAGCAUUAAAUAGUAUCUUUAUUAUAAUAUUUACCUACUGGUUAUUUGUUAGUGAAACAAGGAGUUGGGGAAAUUUUGUUUUUUGGAAACAAAGAGAUCCCACUAUAAUGAAGAGUAUGCCAAAACUUAAGCUCUUGGGUCGAGUGGUAACAGAGCAAUUUUAGUCUCACUUUUUAUGACCUCUCUUGUUGUGUUAGGAGGGUAUGGCUAAUUUUUGGAUGAAUAUAAUUAUCAUGAGGACAUAUUGCAGAGGUUGAAUAUAAUCGUCAUGAAGACAUAUUGCACCUAAGAUUAAGAAUAUAAUGUAGGAAGCUUUUGCAAAGACUGUCCAUAGCUUAUAUACUGCACCCUGAGUCCUUAAAUAAUCAAAUCUCUAGUUAAACGCUCGUAAAAGUUUGACUUCUAUGUGGCAAGGCUUCAAGUGUAUUCUAUCUCACCCUUUUCUUUGAUGUGGGAUCUCUCUUUGAUUAAACUUAUUGCCAUUUUCAAGGUUUUAUAAUUUCUCCAAUAUAAAACUUUUGUAUUUUGUUGUGAUCAUAUAUCACUUCAUAUUCCAGUUGCGAAGGAGACAGAGUUUGAGUUUUGGGGAUUUCUUUUUGUUAUUCUUGCUGCUGUCAUGUCUGGAUUUCGUUGGUGCAUGACUCAAAUUCUUCUACAGGUAUGGUUUAGUUGUAUUCCUGAUAUACAUGGUUUAUGGAAUUUGUGUAACUUAAACCCAAUUUUUUUUUCCUACAUGACUUUAUUUUUUUGUUUGGAUUUCAAUACGAUGGUCCAUGGCGAAAUAAAAAUGGAUGUAAAGAAAGAAACUUACGGUAGGUACUUAUUCUUUUUCUUUUAUUUCAUUUGAAUUUUAGCCAAUCUCAACUGCUACUAGAUUUUAUCUACUGCCAUAAGUAUCUGCAAGCAUGCUUUGCACAUAUUAGAUUUUCAUGUACCGCUGUAAGCAUCUGCAAGUGUGUGUAACAUGUAUGUUCCUCAGAAUUUACUUUACAUAAUGAUGAUACAUAGAAAUACUGUUUAUUGGACCUUUUCUUAUGAGCUUGAGCUUUUGGAAUUAAUAGUCUUUUAAUAUGGUGUCAUUCUGCUUUUUUCUAAGCUAGCCAGCACUUAUUGAUGAACAAAUUUUGCUCUUGGUAAAAAGCUUGAGUCUCUGGUGAACAAACUUAUACAUUACAUUUCUUUCCUAGAUGCUUUGCCUUAGUUUUUAUACCAUUAUUUCUAAUCAAUCACUAAGAAGUGUUUUCUUUAUUUUUUGUUUUUAGGUCUUAAAAAUCCACUUACCUUGAUGAGCUAUGUGGCACCAAUUAUGGCGCUGGUGACUGCUCUUCUUUCUCUAUUGCUGGAUCCAUGGCAUGAAUUCAAAAGGAAUAAUUAUUUCAAUAACUCAUGGCAUGUCACUCGGAGUUUGUUGCUGAUGCUUUCCGGCGGAGCUUUGGCCUUUUUCAUGGUAAGAAUUGAUGUCGAACAAAAGGAUUGGGGGGAAGAUACAUUUACAUGCUUUUCGUGUUGCAUAUUGAGUAUGCUUGGUCUGAGUUUCAUGGUCUCCAAAAGAAAUUAAUACAUUUACAUGCUUUUCAUGUUGCAUAUUGAGUACACUUGAUCUGAGUUUCAUGGUCCCCAAAAGAACUAACUUGUUUCUCUUGUUACAGGUUUUGACGGAAUUUGUACUUGUCUCGGUAACAAGUGCUGUCACUGUUCAAAUUGCAGGUGUUGUCAAGGAGGCUGUUACCAUAUUGGUAAAACUUUUCUAGGGUAGUUCGGCUUUCUAGAUUAUUUUGGUAAAAUGUUGGCCAUUGUAUGUGCUUUAUUGUUUGUUCUAUCUUACUUUCUAGUCGUUACCUUGUGAAAUCCUUUAGUUACAAUACCGUUCUGUUUGAAACAUUAAAUAUUCAAACUCUCCUAUUAGAUAAGAUAAAUACCCUGUUUGUCAUGAGCUGCAAUUAUUCAUGAUUAUGGCUAUUGUCUUAAAAUAUUUUUUAUGGUCUGAGCCGUCUUUUGUAACUUUUAAUUGUGAUCUGUAAUUACAUUUAGAUUUUUGUUUGAGGAUGUUUAAUGCAUCUAUAGAUGUAAGAAUCACGCUUUGAUUGUUUUACUAGUUUUAUUGUCACAGUGUAGGCUGUGUAGCUCUCUCCUGCAUAGACGGACACUGUGCUUUGAUUGUUUUACUAGUUUUAUUGUCGCAAUGUAGCUGUCUCCUGCAUAGACAGACACCGUAUAGAAUUAAACCCUAGUCUUAUGUUUUCUUAUUGUGUUUUUUCAUUUGGUUAGUUAUUUUAUUAAUAAUUACAAAUAUAAAAAACAUGAAUGGCUACACAGUAUAAGGACUCUCAAAGGAUUCUACUUCAAUAUGUAAAUGUACAGGUUGCAGUGUUUUACUUCCAUGAUGAGUUCAGUUGGCUGAAGGGGUUUGGUCUCUUCACAAUCCUGGUUGGUGUCAGUUUAUUCAAUUGGUACAAGUAAGUCAUUAGUUAUUGUAGUUUUGAACUAUUAUUAUAUGUUUCUUCUCUUUUUCUUUUUUCCUUUUUUUCCUGUGUUAACUGAUUUUGUUGUUGUCUUUUUUUUUUCAACUAUUAUUUGGCUGUUAGAUUAUUGCUUAGUGUGUAGUGGCCAAAUGUGGAUUGUGUGAUGCAGAAUACAUAAGUAUCCAGUUCAUUCCUAAUAAUCUUAAAACUUCCUCUCAUCAAAGAGUCCAAUUAAACGGGACAAAAUGUAAUUGUAGAACUUUUGGACUGGACAAAUUUCCCAUGACUAGCCUUUGCUUUUGGCUGUUUGCAUGAGAAGGAUGUUCCUUUAACUUGCAUGUUUUCCAUGUUAAAUACCCUUCUAUAACAUUAAACACUAAAGCUUGGUUGAUGUCCAACAGAUGUUAUAUGUCAGAUUUGCGAACAUUCUGGUGGUGAGCUUUAAUCUUAUCUGUGAACGGUUAGCCUGCUGCACAAAAUUGGAUCAUUAUACAAAGGUUCCACAUUAUGUGCCCUAGUCAUUGAAGUUUGAUAAAAUUUAAGAAUAUGAUAAUGACAUUUCUCGAAAUUCAAGAAAGCUUCCCAAUGGUCAUUAUGUGUCAUUAUAAAUGGGAUCAACCAACUUAUAAUUGCCUUGUCCUGUUGCUAUCAGUUAGCAAUGAGAAUUGAUAUUUUACCGGCUCAUCCAGCUAAAUUUUGUCAGUCCUUUGCUCCUCACUUACCAAAUUUGACAUGUAUUGAUUGCAUUUGUUUGUGGAUCUCUUGAAUAAUAUUUUGGUUUUUGAUGUUUCUUCCUGACAUAUUAAAAAUAUUGGAAUUUUAAGAGUCUCUCUAGUCUCUGAGAUUAUGGAUCAGAAAAGCAUCUGUAUUCAACAUUAGUUGUGGAACAAUUUACGGGCAGAAUGAUAAAGCUCAACUUUAAGUUACCUAAUCUUAACGCCUGAUUUCUGCUGUGUGCUUCUUGUCAACUUUUUCCUAAUCUGGGUUUUGAUAUUGAUUGUUAAUCUUUUUUAUCCUUUUUCAGAUACCAAAAGCUUCAGGCAGGUCAUGCAAAUGAAGAUGGCAUGCUGGGAUCACGUGAAACAAAUGCUUCUGCAAAAUAUGUUAUUCUAGAGGAGAUUGAUGAUCUAGAUGAGGGCACUUGAAGUUUCUAGUAAUCACAUGAUUUGAAUUUUGAUAAUCUUGUGUAAGCCUCUUGCUGAACCUUCUCCCCUAAAAACAUUGGACAUCUAUGCAGUUUGGGGUGGAACCUUAGGUUGAUGCAAUGGUUUGAUUUGGUAUUUAUCAGUGGUCCAAGUUUGUGUAAUGAUCCAUUGAUUUACAUUUGAUUAUCAGGUUAUCAGCCAAAGAAAUCCGUGGCAUCAGUAGUAACUGGUCUCAAGUUUGCGGUACUUAGCAAAUCUUAUUUUUGGCUGAGCUUCGGCCUUGAUUUUUUCUGCGCCCUCAAGCAGGUCAGUGGCAGAAACGUACAGGGUGUGUACAAAAUCAGGGGUUUAGCAAAUACAUUUUGGCAAGCGGAAUUGAGUGAAGACUGAAGAAGCCCGUUCAUGUGGGAAGUUUACCUCAAGCUUUUUACUAGUGGGUCUUGUCUAAGAUACAUAUUUCCGAAAUGCAUACUCUACGGUCAUUUUGUCGGUCGUUGAUUUGUUGUUUAGUUUAGACAUUGAGAAUGCAAGUGGCGAAGCAAGCUGUAAUCGAUUGAACGCUUU